This 253-nucleotide ribosomal RNA is filed under the name uncultured bacterium. Its description in RNAcentral is "partial 16S ribosomal RNA". It matches the Rfam family "Bacterial small subunit ribosomal RNA", at positions 524 to 776 of the family's 1533-position model. The record is from RNAcentral.
UACGGAGGGGGCUAGCGUUGUUCGGAAUUACUGGGCGUAAAGCGCGCGCAGGCGGUCCUUCAAGUCAGAGGUGAAAGCCCAGAGCUCAACUCUGGAAUGGCCUUUGAGACUAGAGGACUUGGGUACGGGAGAGGUGAGUGGAAUUCCGAGUGUAGAGGUGAAAUUCGUAGAUAUUCGGAAGAACACCAGUGGCGAAGGCGGCUCACUGGCCCGUUACCGACGCUCAGGCGCGACAGCGUGGGGAGCAAACAGG